This is a long non-coding RNA of Mya arenaria, 245 nucleotides long. RefSeq lists it as uncharacterized. The record is from RefSeq and is a predicted model, not a curated record. The transcript has 3 exons. Lineage: Eukaryota; Metazoa; Mollusca; Bivalvia; Myida; Myidae.
AAACACAUUGUUUAUAAUUCUCAGACCAAGAGAUCACCCAAGGGACCGAAUCGCCCCAAUCAGAUAGCUCGACUGGCCACAACUGCUGUCCAAAUACCAGAAUGCAUCCAUGCCAUCUGGUUUUUGACAUUACUGCUGUGGACAGAUUUUCAGCAAUGCAGCCAUCCUGGUUGCUGAAGCCACAGAGGUAUUUUCAAGGACAAAAACCAAUGCUGAUCAAAACAUGGUCUAGUGAUGGAAUUCCA